GAACUACUUAUUAAAAUAUGGUAUGAUGGAUGUUUUUUCUGUUUAUAUAGAAAAAGUGUAAAGACUAAAAAAAAAAUUAGCCGGGAAUAAUGAUUACUAUCAAGAAAAGACUCUGCAUUUCACUUUGUAUUGUUUCCCGAAGUUUUCUUUUAAGAACGCGUAAGAUUUAAUGGUCAAGAAAGUGUUUUCCUUUCCCCUUUUGCUUCCUUAGAUCUACAAUGCUUACAUGCUAAGCUACACAAUAUAAAAAGAAAAAAAAUAAAACAAACUAUUUAUGUUGGUCGCACCCCUCAUACUUUCAUUAUUUUUUAUAAUAUUACCAUAAAGUGUAAAUUAUUACAUUAUAUUUUUGCUGAUAUAUCUGACUUUGUAUUAGUGUUUUGUAAAGAGGACAAGUGUGAUCGACUGAUCGUGGUGUUGGUAAAGGAGCACGCGAGCCGAGGAUUAUGAUGAUGAGUAGCAGAUUUUGACAAUUUAGAAAUCUCGAUUUCCUGAAGAUUAUACUAGUUCUCAAAGAAAUAUUUACUAAUACGGUAACCGAUUCAUUUUUGUUUGGAGAUUUGUUCGGCAAUCAAGUGUCAAAAAUUAAGACUGUACACAAAUACUUGUUAGUACCUAAUAUGUUGUAAAUCAUUAUGUGGAUGGCCCAUAACCAAGACCAAGACAAAGCCCAGCCGUGUUCAAGAAGAGAGAGAGUCGGCGUCCAAGAGGAGAGAGAGUCGGCCUAUCCCUUGGCCGACUUUAGUCUUAGGACGUUUUCCAUUUAUCUGUUUUAUAUCUUUUCCUAUUUCAUAUUGUAUUAGGUUUUGGAUAAUUUCCUUUUUCCUAUACUUUGUAAUCCUUAUAUAAGGAACCUCUAUUGUUCAUUAAUAAUACACAGAAACAAUUCUCCAUUCUUUUACAACACGUUAUCAGCACGAUCGUCUCUAGAUCCCUGAGACAAAUCGAAACCUCUAAACCCUAAAAGCCAAAACCGGCGACCACAACCCAAAACCCUAAUCUCGUUCUUAGUUCAAUCAAGAACUCAGAAGAUCCCUCUUGAAUCCUAGACGUUCUCAGAUCACGUUCCAGCUCAGAAGAACCGUCCAGCUUGCGAUCAAACCCGAGACGCGAUCGCACCCGACACGACCCGCGUCCGAGAGACUCGCACCCGAGACAGCCGGCGGUCGUCCUCAGCUCGCGUCUGCUCCCAUCCGCGACCCGAUUGCAUCCGUUCGUCCUCUCUCUCUCUCUAAAGGUGGUCCGGUUCUAAAACUCUACAAACAAAGGUAUAACUUAAUCUGAGAACCUAGAUUGAUCAGAAACCCUAAUCCACAAUUAUGGAAACUUUGAUCUUGAUCAAAACCCUAAAACCUACAAGAUUAAAAUCGACAAUCUCUUAACUAGAAAGAUAGAAAUCGAUUCCUUAGAACUUGAAUUGAUUGUUCCUGAUUUGAUUUUGAGAAACCCUAAGUUUUGGAAUCGAAACCCUAAACCCUAAAGAACUGAAUUCAAUUUUUAAUUGAUUGAAUUGUUUGUUGAUUUGAGGUUUUAGGAUUGUUAGAUUGAUUGAAGUAAUCUGAUUUAAAACUUGAAUCCUAAAGGCCUUGAAACCUUUAAUUAAAACCGGCAGCUUUAGUUUUAAAGUUGAAACCCUAAAUUCAUAAAUUGCUAAGGUUGUUUGCAUUACAUAUGAAUUUGAAUUGAAAUUGCAUUCGUAUUGUUUAAUGAAAUCGACUAGCAUAUAGAAACAUACGAAUUCGAAUCUGAUUGCAUUGAAAAUCAUAAUGGUCGUGUGGCCUUAAUCCCCCUAGCUCUUGUAGAAUCAUAUAUUAGGAUUGUUCGCACCAUGGUCAAUUUAGAUUUACAUGUCCGAUCCUAUUGCUUGACUAUAUGGCCGUGUGGCUUGUUUGUUCGUACCAUGGUCGAUUAGAUUGAUUGUUUUCUCAUAGAUGCGUAAGACAAGUUUGUGGCCGAGCUUGUUAUACCAUGCGGCCACAUGAUCACAUUGUGAACCUAAAUUGAAAUGAUGAUGUGAUUCAGAUGUCGAAAAUCUCAAAUAGAGACUACGCAGCCCUUAAUCUCUCCGGAGAUAAAUACUUGCAGUGGGCGC
Long non-coding RNA from Brassica napus (rape), 2092 nucleotides. RefSeq lists it as uncharacterized. The transcript has 2 exons. Lineage: Eukaryota; Viridiplantae; Streptophyta; Magnoliopsida; Brassicales; Brassicaceae. The record is from RefSeq and is a predicted model, not a curated record.